AGAAAUUGCUGCUGAAGUUUCUAAACAGGACAAUAAUGAUUUCCUGACCAAUCAGCCAUAUGAAGUUGCCACAACAAUAGAACCAAUACAAGCUCAUGACCUACCUACCCUUGUAAAUCCUACAGAUACAGAUAUGGAUGAGGAAUCCACUGCACAAAAUUUCCUUUAUGUUGCCAAGCAUGGGGAUCUGUCACCAAGGCUUAUUGAACCUGUCAAAUCUCCAUCAAAAGGAAAAAAGAAACAGUCAAAAGAGAUUUCAACAGCACAUGUCAGUGGAGUACAAACAAGGAGUACACUAUCCAAACCCAAAAUCAUUUAAUGAAUGCCAUUAUAUGGAAUGUGCGGUAAGUAAACACAAUGCAAGAAUUUGAAAGGCUGAUUACAUUGCAUAAAAAACAUCGCUUUCAGUUCAUAGGAAUAAUGGAGCCUAUGCAACAGUCUCACAAAAUGGAGAGGUAUAGAGCAAGAAUUGGAUUGGAACAGGCUGUGGGGAAUGUGUCUAACAAGAUUUGGGUUUUUAUUGAUGAAAUUUAUACAGUUUCUAUUCUACAUAACAUGACUCAAAAUCUGACUUUAAGAUUGAUUCACUCUGAAUCUCAUGAUGAACUCAUCCUCACGCUAGUCUAUGCCAUUCAUAACAUGAAUCAACAGCUGACUUUAAGAUUGAUUCACUCUGAAUCUCAAGAUGAACUCAUCCUUACGCUAGUCAAUGCCAGAUGCGAUCGUAUAGAAAGAAUUGACCUAUGGGAUUCUUUGUAUGCAAUGGCAUCAGAUAUAUCAGUUCCAUGGCCAGUGGGAGGUGUCUUUAAUGUGAUGUGGGAUGAGGAAGAGAAGUAUGGAGGCUUACUAGUUCUAUCCUUGAAGUAGAUGACCUUAGACACUGCAUAAACACCUGCAAUUUGUUAGAUUUUGGAUUUAAAGGAAGCAUCUUUACAUGGUGGAAUGGAAGAUCAGAAGAGGACUGUAUAUUCAAAAGACUGGACAGAUGUUUAGGUAAUGAAGAAUUGCAACAGAAAUUUCUUGGAUUGGAGGUAACUCGCCUGUCCAAAAUCGGCUCAUAUCAUUGCCCGAUGCUGCUUAAAUCUGAUUUAAAAACUGCCCCAAUUAAGAAGUCAUUCAGAUUUCUUAAUUUCUGGACGAAGCAUGAAUCUUUCAAAGAUGUAGUGAAGGAGAAUUGGAAUGCUGAUUUUAGUGCUAACCCUUUAUGUAUUUUUAACUAUAAGUUAAAGAAGCUUAAACAUGCACUAUCUACCUGGAGCAGAGAUACAUAUGGGGUCAUUUUCCAGAAGAUUGAAAGUCUUGAGGAGGUGGUAAUGGUUCAUGAAAGACAAUUUCAAGUUAAUCCGACUCAGAUAAACAGACAGAGAUUACGAAUGGUCCAAUCUGAAAUGCUUAAUAAUCUUCCAUUAGAAGAACAAUUUUGGAGACAAAAAGCAGGCAUGUUAUGGUUCAAAGAUGGCGAUAGAAACACUAAAAUUUUCCAUGCUCAAGUUAAUGGGAGAAGGAAGAUAAUGAAAUUAUCAAGGAUCCAGGAUAGCUUAGGUAACUGAAUCGAAGAAGACCACUUAAUAUCAGAAGAAGCAAUAUAAUUUUACAAGGAUCUAUUCACUGAGACUUCAUCCCCUACUUCUUUUCAUAUUCUAAAUCAUGUACUUCAAUGGUAGAUAAUGAUCACCACGAGAGAUUGAUGGCUUUACCUACUAAAGAGGAAGUAAAGAAAGCAGUCAUGGGCUAAAUGGGGAUUCAACAGGCGGACCAGAUGGAUUCAAUGGAGCCUUUUACCAAUCAUGCUGGGAAAUCAUUGAAGAAGAUGUAGUCGGCAUGGUUAAGUCUUUCUUCUGCGGUCGU
RNAcentral lists this long non-coding RNA (1848 nucleotides) under Nicotiana benthamiana. RNAcentral's name for it is "long non-coding RNA (NBEN_LNC027475)". Lineage: Eukaryota; Viridiplantae; Streptophyta; Magnoliopsida; Solanales; Solanaceae. The record is from RNAcentral.